Molecule: unclassified non-coding RNA, 438 nt
Filed under: Hevea brasiliensis (rubber tree)
Lineage: Eukaryota; Viridiplantae; Streptophyta; Magnoliopsida; Malpighiales; Euphorbiaceae
Source: RNAcentral
AAAUAAGUGCCCUAAUCGGUUAAUCAGUACAGAACCCCAAUUCCAAAUCUCUCAUCUUCAUCGGCUCACUGCCACUGUUACCUCAGUGCCGGCGGUGGACUCUCCGAAAAAUUUAGUGAAUUCUUUACAGGUGAAGUACUUGAUGAUAUUUCUUAGCUGGACGCGUCCAUCUCCUGAAGAGCAGAAAGCAUGUAUCAACAAGUCUGGUUCCUUUAACUAUGAUAAAAGAUUUAGAGGAACUACUGAGAAACCUGCUCCUCUACUUAAGCAAGACAGUGAGCUUGCAAAGGAUGGUUUCUCUGUUAAUUGUGCUCGAGUAUUAGUCGGUUCAGGCCGUGAGACUUUUGAAAAGGGAAAAGCUGCCCUUCAAAAUUGGAGGCAUUUUGGAUUGAAUUGGGCGUUUGUUGAUCCAAAAGCUCAAAUUCAAAGUGGGACAAA